Molecule: long non-coding RNA, 1931 nt
Organism: Sebastes umbrosus (honeycomb rockfish)
Lineage: Eukaryota; Metazoa; Chordata; Actinopteri; Perciformes; Sebastidae
Exons: 3
Source: RefSeq, a predicted model, not a curated record
CAGCAGCAUUAAUAACAGCAGCAGCAGCAGUAACAGGAACAGCAGCAGCAGUAACAGUAGAGAGGAGGAGUGACAGGAGGUGGGUGGGAUCUACAAUAGAAAGUGCAUGUCAGUGAACGCCUCUCAGCCACUUCAGUAUGAAUGGUGGAGCUGCAGGAUCACUGAACUGCUGAGAGAGUUACUGAAGACAGAAAGUCACUACAGAGAGACAGACAGAGGACAGAGACACAGACAGAGGACAGUCUGCUGCGUUCAGGAUGGGUUUAUUCCGCAGUGCACGUCUGAAAGUGAAAGAAGUGCGCGUGAAGCUUGUGUCAGAGUUGGAGCCUCGCAAAAUGUUACCGAGCUGAAACAGAAAGAGAAGAGUCCUGCGAGGAAGAGGAGGAGGAAGAGGUGAUGAAGAGGAGUAUUUAUACACCACACGUUCCAUUGUGGAUGGAUGUGGAUGGAUGUGGAGCCGGUGUCACCUCCUCCACCUGGAGCUCUGCAGGCUUCUAUCGCCACCCGGUGGUGAAGCUCAGACGUGACGUUCAGUGGAGGAUCCUCAUCUGCUGCAGUGCUUUUCUAGUCUUCUGACCACUCAAAGCUGUGGUUGCCGGGGAUCGAACCGCCGAUUGGUGGACGAUCCGCUCUACCCUCUGAACCCCUGAAAAUGAAAAGUUAAACUAAGAAAGUUCUCAAAGUGACCGGAGCAUAAUGCGUUCAGUUUUUCUGAAUGAAUGAGAAGCUCUCAUUUAGUUGAGAGCUUGAUUUCCUGGAAGGGAACACAUCCCGCCUGUUCACUUUAAUCCAGCCCUGAGAACCUUCUGAAGAGGGACGUCUGAGGAACAGCUGACUGAUCGUCCCUUUAGAGCCGGCCUGAUGCAUCGUGUUAUAUCUGUGAAGUCAUAUCGGUUCAACUGAUCCUGGAGAAACAUCUCAAUGUCCAGCUGAUCAGACCAGUAACAAUAAGACCUUAGUAUGUCCUCAUGUCUCAACCCAAACAGGACCAACAGUAUUAACCUGAACAGGCAGGACAUGUUCUGGUUUAAAGGUCUCUCGUUAAAAACAAUCUGAUUUUAGUUCUGUUUUUCAUGAAAAAGGUCUCAUAAUUCUUAGAAUAAAAACAGGGCUUUUCCUCCAUAAGAGUAUUUUCCACACAGAGAUGUUGACAUGACGUCCCUGAAGAGACAGAACUGCUCCUUAAGACACCGACGCUGCAGUUAUAUUCAUUCUGCACAUAUUUAAUACAUGCAUCUACACCAAGUUAAAGGUGGUAUUCACAUGCUCUAUAUUACUGAGAACAUCUCACUGAGUACUAAACAUCUUAAAGGAGAUUAAAUACUCAGCAGACCGGAGACAGAUGUGACCUUGUUGACUUCCGUGUGGUCUCAGUGUGGUCUCAGUGUGGUGCUGGUUGUCUCCAGUAGAGGACAGUGUUUCCUCAUCAUCAUCCUCAGCUGAGUGUCUGUGUGAUGGAGUUCAGGCUCAGAGAGUCUGUUUCCUCCAGAUCUCCAUCAGUAGAGUCUUUAAACCUCCGUCGUCUCCAGAGGGGGAACGUUUGAACGUUUGAAGCCCCGCCGCCCUGAGGAAUGGGAGGUAUUGAUUGGUUGGCGGGUGUCAGCUGGAGGUAUUGAUUGAUUGAUUGGUGAACUUAAAGACAACAAUGAGGCAGAGCAGUGAGAAGCAGGCAGGGUUCGGUUCACACAGUAGAUGAGCUCAGUGGAGACAGACACAGCUGUGGCUGUGUGUGUGUGUGUGUGUGUGUGUGUGUGUGUGUGUGUGUGUGUGUCUGUAUAUAGUGUGUAUUGAUUGAGCUGUGAGUUGAUGUUAUCGGUGUUUGUGGGGCAGCUGCACCGUUUCAGACCACAACUACAGAACCAAUCACUCUCUCUGUUUGUUGCUGGCUCCUUAAUAUUAUUACACGGCUUUGUUGAAUACUUGAUUCUGAU